Triticum aestivum (bread wheat) is the source of this 567-nucleotide long non-coding RNA. RefSeq lists it as uncharacterized. The transcript is spliced from 3 exons. NCBI's taxonomy places the organism in Eukaryota, Viridiplantae, Streptophyta, Magnoliopsida, Poales, Poaceae. The record is from RefSeq and is a predicted model, not a curated record.
CACACAUCCCUUAUCCCCACCUCACAAGGCACAACUUCAGCAACUCACAUGGCAUAGUCCCGCUUUCUCUCCCUGCCACUGCUCCUCUUGUCCCGCCAUAGAGUCAUCUGCCGGCUCCUCUCCCAGCCUUGGUGUCAGCCAUCGCUUCCUCUCCCUGCCACUACGUAGUGGCUGGUGGACCACGCUCGACCGAGGGAAGAAACAACGACGCCGUAGGUAACAGGCAUACACACAGUCGGUGGGCGCCUGAAACAAUGCCAUCAAACAUGCAUGAGCAACGACCUCGAUCAUGCCUCCCUAUGUGCAACCAGAAUGUGGAGCCCAGGAGCAAGAUGACACCACCGACGAUUACUACUACACCGAGGGUGCCUUCCACUACGUGGAGGCCGCCGACGACCAGGAGCAGUUAGGAGGCUCCCAGGCAGGAGGCCUUGCCUUUUCGAUCGUUGUUGCUUUUGUGCUAGCCUUCUUAAGGAAAACUUGUCUAAUUUAUGUCUGUACUCAGAUUUUGUUGCUUCCGCUGACUCGUUUGUAUUCGAGCUUAUGUAUUCGAGCCCUCGAGGCCCC